CCUACGGGGGGCAGCAGUGGGGGAUAUUGCACAAUGGGGGAAACCCUGAUGCAGCGACGCCGCGUGGGUGAAGAAGUAUUUCGGUAUGUAAAGCCCUAUCAGCAGGGAAGAAAGAAGACGGUACCUGACUAAGAAGCCCCGGCUAACUACGUGCCAGCAGCCGCGGUAAUACGUAGGGGGCGAGCGUUAUCCGGAUUCACUGGGUGUAAAGGGAGCGUAGACGGCCGUGCAAGCCAGGAGUGAAAGCCCGGGGCCCAACCCCGGGACUGCUCUUGGAACUGUGCGGCUGGAGUGCGGGAGGGGCAGGCGGAAUUCCUGGUGUAGCGGUGAAAUGCGUAGAUAGCAGGAGGAACACCGGCGGCGAAGGCGGCCUGCUGGACCGCGACUGACGUUGAGGCUCGAAAGCGUGGGGAGCGAACAGGAUUAGAUACCCCGGUAGUC
RNAcentral lists this ribosomal RNA (441 nucleotides) under uncultured bacterium. RNAcentral's name for it is "partial 16S ribosomal RNA". It matches the Rfam family "Bacterial small subunit ribosomal RNA", at positions 338 to 795 of the family's 1533-position model. The record is from RNAcentral.